GAUGAACGCUGCGGCGUGCCUAAUACAUGCAAGUCGAGCGAACAGACGAGGAGCUUGCUCCUCUGACGUUAGCGGCGGACGGGUGAGUAACACGUGGAUAACCUACCUAUAAGACUGGGAUAACUUCGGGAAACCGGAGCUAAUACCGGAUAAUAUAUUGAACCGCAUGGAUCAAUAGUGAAAGACGGUUUUGCUGUCACUUAUAGAUGGAUCCGCGCCGCAUUAGCUAGUUGGUAAGGUAACGGCUUACCAAGGCAACGAUGCGUAGCCGACCUGAGAGGGUGAUCGGCCACACUGGAACUGAGACACGGUCCAGACUCCUACGGGAGGCAGCAGUAGGGAAUCUUCCGCAAUGGGCGAAAGCUUGACGGAGCAACGCCGCGUGAGUGAUGAAGGUCUUCGGAUCGUAAAACUCUGUUAUUAGGGAAGAACAAAUGUGUAAGUAACUAUGCACGUCUUGACGGUACCUAAUCAGAAAGCCACGGCUAACUACGUG
RNAcentral lists this ribosomal RNA (496 nucleotides) under uncultured bacterium. RNAcentral's name for it is "partial 16S ribosomal RNA". It matches the Rfam family "Bacterial small subunit ribosomal RNA", at positions 28 to 507 of the family's 1533-position model. The record is from RNAcentral.